This is a long non-coding RNA of Brassica napus (rape), 1584 nucleotides long. RefSeq lists it as uncharacterized. The record is from RefSeq and is a predicted model, not a curated record. The transcript is spliced from 3 exons. Lineage: Eukaryota; Viridiplantae; Streptophyta; Magnoliopsida; Brassicales; Brassicaceae.
UUUUGUCUUCUCCGUAGCUUAAUUCCCUCUGCAACAGUGGUUCUAAUAAUGACUAAUCCUCAGCUACUUUUUUCUCAGCUGAAGGCAGGUCGAUGUAUCUAGACGGUUGAGACAUGAGUUUUACGUUUUUGAAAGGCACGAAAUAUCAAAAAAGGAGGCUAGCGAUGGGAGUCGACAUGAUUUUAUGAAAAGGUACUUUGUAACCCAUGAGAUUGCCGCUAGAUUUAGUUUAUUUUUUUAGUAUUCAAACAAUACAAACAUCCUCACAUGUGGUUGCUUCUUCUUACGCCGUCUACACUGAUUCAGGCUUCCGUUGCGUUCAUCUCUCCGAAAAGUUGCGAUUUAUGAGACUGUGAUUGCUCUUUUAUCAUUUGUUUUGUACGGAUCAAUAUAUAUCUGAAACCAAGCCUCUGAAUUAUGUGGCUGGAUCAAGGAUGAUUUUGUGGCUGAAGGAUUGAAAACAGUCAAGAAUAGGGCUCAAGUCGUCAAAGCUUUGGUACGGAGAGGUAUCAUUUGCUUAAGAAACUAAUUUGAGAUCCUCUUGAUCGAUAAAAGGGCACAUGAUCAUAUUCUUUACGUACGCUCUGUCAACGAUAAUGAUUUGGUUUGUAGACAUGUAUUAAUCAUUUGUAGCUCUUUCUCUUUUUAUAUCUCAUUUCUAAUCUAUAUUUGAUGCAAGAAAUUCAAAGGCUACUUAAGUGGGGAUAUCUGCUAAUAAUAUUUCUACUCAGAUCUCAACUUGGUGGUCGUCUGCAUUAUUUGAAUUUCUUUAUCCAUUCAUUACAGAAAUAUGUUCGAAUUCUCGGACAUGGGACUUCUCUUUGUUUUUCACUAAAACAAAUAUGUAUGGAUGCUUACAAGAACUCAUUUUUGCUGUCGCAGCUACUUCUCCAUACUGAGUCUGAUGAUUCUUCUCAGUAUCCCAGAUUGACCUCUCAGCUUUCCUUGCUAUCAACUUUGAGUCAAGCUGGUGAAUUGACUCUUCAGUCACUUUGCAAAAAAAAACCCGAGAAAUCGAGGUUCACGUGUGAGUAGACUCAGUGGGGAUCACAAAAGGGAUAUAUCCUCAAAGGUUGUUGGGCUCUUGCCUGAGAUGAACACCCUAUGGAUUUACUAGAUCAACGUUUCGGGGUCUUGCAGUGUUCCUGCAGCAUAACCGUGACGUAUCAAGACAUGACAUGCGCCACGUGGUGGAAGGAUGGCCGAUAGGUUCUGGACCAAAACAAGACUCUUAAACAAGGAGGCGCUAAAUAACUGGGCAAAUGACAAAGAUAUAGCGUUGUCACAGCUGGAAUUUACAAGAAAAAGAGCUUGCCGACUUUGUAUGUUGAUGCAAACCGGGUUGGGAGCGUUGGCUAGACGAUUUCCUUUGAACGAUUUGAAUACCCGUCAGUGUAGACAUACUAUCGUCAUAUGGCUUCUUCGUUUCUAGGAAGAGAACAAGAAGUUACUCCGUGGCAUCAUCUCUGUGAAGAUGCGGAUGUGCAUUGCAAAAUUUAAGGAAUAACAAGCCAGUAAGUAGCUGCCACGCCAAUAACCUUGAGAAUUGUUUUUUUUUUUCUUUUUUUUUUUUUUUUUUUUUAA